GGAGGAAAAGAAACUAACAAGGAUUCCCCUAGUAACGGCGAGUGAAGCGGGAACAGCUCAACUUUAAAAUCUGGCCCUUUCAGGGUCCGAGUUGUAGUCUCGAGAAGCCACGUCCGCGCCGGACCUUGGACAAGUCGGUUGGAAAACCGCGUCAACGAGGGUGACAAUCCCGUUUAUGCCAAGGACGCCCGUGUGCAUUGUGAUGGGCUUUCAAAGAGUCGAGUUGUUUGGGAAUGCAGCUCUAAUCGGGUGGUAAAUUCCAUCUAAAGCUAAAUAUUGGCGAGAGACCGAUAGCGAACAAGUACCGUGAGGGAAAGAUGAAAAGCACUUUGGAAAGAGAAUGAAACAGUAUGUGAAAUUGCUGGAAGGGAAACGAUUGAGGUUAGACUUGCUGGCGCGGCACUCAGCCCUCACGGGUGUAUUUGCCGCGCAUUGGCAGGCCAGCAUCGGUUUGCAGUCGGGUAAAAGGGUGCGGGGAACGUAGCAACCUCGCGUUGUGUUAUAGACCCGCACUGGAUGCCCGAUCGCAGACCGAGGUCAGCAGGGCGCCGCAAGGCAAUGCCUUUUGGCAUCGAGCCCUUAGGAUGCUGGUAGAAUAGCCUUAACCGACCCGUCUUGAAACACG
RNAcentral lists this ribosomal RNA (625 nucleotides) under Kurtzmanomyces shapotouensis. RNAcentral's name for it is "eukaryotic LSU rRNA". It matches the Rfam family "Eukaryotic large subunit ribosomal RNA", at positions 52 to 663 of the family's 3401-position model. The record is from RNAcentral. Lineage: Eukaryota; Fungi; Basidiomycota; Agaricostilbomycetes; Agaricostilbales; Chionosphaeraceae.